Long non-coding RNA from Clupea harengus (Atlantic herring), 924 nucleotides. Lineage: Eukaryota; Metazoa; Chordata; Actinopteri; Clupeiformes; Clupeidae. The record is from Ensembl.
GCAGGAUCACGGUUAUUUUUUUUUAGAGAUGGUAGUGUUUCAUUUACUAAGGGUAGUGCGUGUUUAAGUAGUUUUUUGGGGAUAGGGUCUAGUAAGGCAAAUUGAUAAUUUAGAUGAGAUCAGGGAGGUCAAUGGGUGUGAAAGAUUCUAGGAGUGCAGCAGGUUGUGGGGGUGUCACAGAGGUAGUCAUGGUGAUUCAAGGAGUGCAGCAGGUUGUGGGGGUGUCACAGAGGUAGUCAUGGUGAUUCAAGGAGUGCAGCAGGUUGUGGGGGUGUCACAGAGGUAGUCAUGGUGAUUCUAGGAGUGCACCAGGUUGUGGGGGUGUCACAGAGGUAGUCAUGGUGAUUCUAGGAGUGCAGCAGGUUGUGGGGGUGUCACAGAGGUAGUCAUGGUGAUUCUAGGAGUGCAGCAGGUUGUGGGGGUGUUAAGAGGUAGUCAUGGUGCAUCCUGGAAGGGCUAUAGGGUCAUGGAGGGGGAGGAGUCUGAAUUUGUUCUCUUAUUGUUCAAAAUGUGUUAUUGAAAAAGCUCAUGAAAUUGUUUCUGCUACAGGCUAUAAACAGACUGUUCUAUUGUAUUGUGUUUUUUUGUUAGUCUAGACAUGGUCUUCAAGAGACACCUUGGGUUGUUUUUUAUUAUUUUCAAUCAAUGAAGAAUAGUAAGCUGAUUUCACAUCAGAAAGUGCUCUUUUAUAGCUUACAAGACAAGUUUGGUGGUGUACCAUUUUUUCUCUAGUUUCCGAGUCAUUUGUUUAAGUGCAUGAGUCUGGUCAGUGUACCAUGGAGCGAGUCUUUUUCUGUUCGCUUAUUCUCUUUUUCAGUGGUGCAACAGUGUCAAGGGUUGAGCGAAGCACACAUAUGAAACCAUUUGUUAGUAGGUCGUUAUGAGGUAGGGAUGUGCUUACGCCACUUUCAGUGUUUACAUGUC